This 503-nucleotide long non-coding RNA is filed under the name Solanum tuberosum (potato). Its description in RNAcentral is "long non-coding RNA (STUB_LNC000655)". Lineage: Eukaryota; Viridiplantae; Streptophyta; Magnoliopsida; Solanales; Solanaceae. The record is from RNAcentral.
AAAUUUCCACAAAUGUAUGAUCAUUGCUGCAGCUGCCGCCUCUCCAACAGCAACCCCCGAGGCCACUUUAGUGACAACAAAACGUUACUCUGAAACAACAGGCAAAGAUUUCUGGAUGCAACAAUAACAGAAUCCAUAAAUACGAUGGAUAUCACAAAUGCAACAAUAGAUCAGCAACUACCAAUAGUUAAGACGACUAGAGGGUCACUAAGACUUGUAAGAAUUCUAGAAGAUGCUUUGUUAAUUAAAUGUGGCAGUCAAUUAGACAACUUGUCAUUGUCUGUUCAAUUAACAAAGCCACUUCCAGAAUUCUUGGAUGUCUUGUUGAUCAACAGUCAUCUCAAUUAUUGGUUGUUCCUACUCAUAUUUGAACUCUAUUUUCAUGCCGAAUGAUUAAUUACAAAAUGAAGUGUUUGUAAAACUGAUUAUCUUCGACUUGUUAAUUAGUAUAAGUUUGUGGCCUUAUUCGGAUUUGUAAAAAAAAGCCUAACAACCUUGCUUGU